Molecule: ribosomal RNA, 465 nt
Filed under: uncultured bacterium
Lineage: Bacteria
Description: partial 16S ribosomal RNA
Rfam family: Bacterial small subunit ribosomal RNA
Source: RNAcentral
CCUACGGGAGGCAGCAGUGGGGAAUAUUGCGCAAUGGGCGAAAGCCUGACGCAGCGACGCCGCGUGAGGGAUGAAGGUCUUAGGAUCGUAAACCUCUGUCAGCAGGGAAGAACGGUCACUGUGCUAAUCAGCAGUGAAUUGACGGUACCUGCAAAGGAAGCACCGGCUAACACCGUGACAGCAGCCGCGGGAAUACGGAGGGUGCGAGCGUUAAGCGGAAUUACUGGGCGUAAAGCGCUCGUAGGCGGUAUGUCAAGGCAAGGGUGAACUCCCCGGGCUCAACGUGGGAACUGCCUUUGAAACUGGCAAACUGGAGUGUGUGAGAGGAUAGUGGAAUUCCAGGUGUAGGAGUGAAAUCCGUAGAUAUCUGGAGGAACAUCAGUGGCGAAGGCGACUAUCUGGCACAUAACUGACGCUGAGGAGCGAAAGCGUGGGUAGCAAACAGGAUUAGAUACCCGGGUAGUC